UCCGGGGAUUGGCGCGGCGCCGACCUUUGCUUUGCCCGCAGGCUGCGGUGACCUUCGUAGGAUGCUCCCCCCGGUGUCCCGGCCGGCAGCUUUCGUCCUGGACCUUUCCCCGGGCCCGUUAGGACAUUGUGUGUACAGCUCCCUGGCAGGGGAACGCCUGUUUAGAAUACACGCGCCCUGUGCCCUUCAGGCCCUGGACGCCCCUCCCUGAGCUCUAGCGGCUCAGAAGAUAAAGUAACAGUCCACUUUGUAAACCGUGACGGUGAGACGUUAACAGCCAAAGGAAAAGUUGGUGACUCUCUACUAGAUGUUGUGAUUGAAAACAAUCUAGAUAUUGAUGGCUUUGGUGCGUGUGAGGGAACCUUGGCUUGCUCUACCUGUCACCUCAUCUUUGAAGAGCACAUAUUUGAGAAGUUAGAAGCAAUCACUGAUGAGGAGAAUGACAUGCUCGAUCUGGCGUAUGGACUAACAGAUAGAUCUCGAUUGGGCUGCCAAGUCUGCUUGACAAAGGCUAUGGACAACAUGACGGUUCGGGUACCUGAUGUUGUGGCUGAUGCCAGACAAUCUGUUGAUGUGGGCAAGAACUCCUAAACUAGAAUAAAUCGGAAUAUUUUCACAAAAUUUUACCUAUUUUUUAUAAUUAUUAUUUCUUAAUGUAAUUACAUGAGAACAUGGGUGAAGGGGUUUAUUAUGAUUAUUAGCUGUACCACUUUAAUCGACCUUACAUUACUACUACAUUUUAUAGAUUUCAAAGUAUGCCAUCUUUAUUUUGGUUAAAUUAUAAAAAGCAAAUCAAAUAUUAGAAAAUAGUUACUAUUCUAGAAUCAUACAUAUUAUACCUUAUGUUUGCUAGCAAGAUGUUUUCACAUAAGUCUUAUGUCUAAUUACCUGUAAGUUAGGUUAAUAAAAGGUAUUAUUUUCCCUGUCAGAUGUGGGUGAAGGCAGAGAUCUAACAUGGCUUGUCUGGAGCAAUAGAGCAAAUUAGAAGAUAAUGUACUAGAACUCGAAUCUUCUUAUUACAAGUUAUAUGUUCAAAUUGAAACUAGAGAAAUUAUGAAUAUCUUAUUUAUAGCAAUAAUUAAAUGGACAUAACUAAUUGCUCAAAUUUCAAAGAUUAUUGUUGCCUUCUAAAUAAAUAUUUCAGAGUUUUGAUUCACUGAAAACUCUCUGGGCUUCCUCACAGCAUGGUGGCUGGUUUCUGCAAGCCAGCACCGUGAGAGGGAGGCCUGUGCCAGGCGUGCCCUAGGUAUAAAAGUCACACAGCAUCAUUUCUGCCUGUUCUUUUCAUUAGGAGUGAGGUACUGAGUCUGGCCCAUCACCUGAAGAGGGUGUCCGGGAACUUGCAGACAUGAUUUAAAACCACCACAGUAACCAUUAUUUUCAAGUUAGCUUAUUGGCACAUUAUUGCCUGAGAAAACCAGCCUUUUAACUAAAGUGUUCUAAACUUUUCAAGAAGGGCUGGAUUUUGCUCUUACAUUGAAUUUUGAAAGAUUCUGUGUCUUCUUUAUUAUGAUGGUUCAUUGGUUUUAUUCUGUAACUCCCAACAGUUUUCUUCCUGACAGUUGUUUAAAAUGAGAGGGAAUAAUGGUAGGUUCCCUUUCAAUGCUGUAUAAUUUUAGUUUACAUUUCUCUGCAUUUUGCCAUCAAGAAAGGCAGCUUCCUUUGGUGUAAUAGUAUAUAUAAUUGUUGGUUACAUGCUAACAUUUAAUAUUGUAUUUGGUUUUCACAAAUAAAACCAACCUGUAAUUACGUAAGUAAUUCAGAACUGCUGAAUUAGUUUUUCAAAUGAACAAUUCUAAGAAUUUUGAAAACCUUUUGCCUAACUUUUGCUGUGAAAAUGUUGUCUAAUUUGUCUUAAAGGACAGUUUUCUUAUUUUCUUCAUAACUAUUUAAGUAUCGUGGUGAUCCAUUUGGCUUCUAUCAUAGUCAUUUAGCAUUUACUAGAAGUUACAUUUCGUUUGAAAAAUUGUUUUCUAAUGGGGAACUUAAAUUCAUUAUAUGUUUUUGCAUCUUUUUCUUCUUUUUCUUUUUACCACUCUUUUAAUUGCUUUUCUUGCUCUUAAACUCCCUGAAAUUUUGUAGUAAACCACAUUUUGGAUCAGAAUUUGUUAGAUGGAUUUCUUAUUUAUAGGUUAACUUAUCACUCUAUAAAUUAAAAAGUAGAAAUAA
Canis lupus familiaris (dog) is the source of this 2169-nucleotide RNA transcript. It is a transcript of the gene named ferredoxin 1, with no coding region annotated. NCBI's taxonomy places the organism in Eukaryota, Metazoa, Chordata, Mammalia, Carnivora, Canidae. The record is from RefSeq and is a predicted model, not a curated record. The transcript is spliced from 4 exons.